Long non-coding RNA from Thalassophryne amazonica, 174 nucleotides. RefSeq lists it as uncharacterized. The record is from RefSeq and is a predicted model, not a curated record. Lineage: Eukaryota; Metazoa; Chordata; Actinopteri; Batrachoidiformes; Batrachoididae. The transcript is spliced from 3 exons.
GACCCUUACAACAACAUGUUCUAAAGUAUCAGUAACAGAAACAAAGCUGAGUGAACAAACCUGUUCUGUAGAAGAGAUUUGGAGGAUUAAAAACGGCAUCCAGCCCUUUACCUCUUUUAUUCUGUUCUUUUAAAUGACACAUUUCUUCUUCCUGGUCUGCGAUCAUUCCUUCAU